Molecule: ribosomal RNA, 537 nt
Filed under: Triticum aestivum (bread wheat)
Lineage: Eukaryota; Viridiplantae; Streptophyta; Magnoliopsida; Poales; Poaceae
Description: partial small subunit ribosomal RNA
Source: RNAcentral
AUGCAGGACAUCAUCGAGCUGCACCCAUCGACCCCUCCUGCACAUCCUUGCAGCGCUGCUACACCACCUCUGAUGCUGAUUGCUUCAACCCCUCAUGUCUCGCCGGCUGAUCUGUCCCCGCUUUUUGUCACUUGUGCUCCGCCCCUGCUGCCUGCACCGAACUCCACACCACCGAGGCUGCCCAGGGCAAGGAGGAAGACACUCGCGAGUGUGUCGGGCUUCAACCUCAGCCGACGCAGCCCUCGGCUCCAAGCAAAGAAGAGAACUUUGCCGGUGGCGCAGAUGGCGGAAAGGCUUCUUUGUCAACGCAUGGGCAUCAUCAAUGAAGGGCAAGAGGUUACUGAAGAAGCCAUCAGGGAAUUUGUUGCCAUGUUCAAUGGGCAACUUCCGGACACCACAGUAGCGGCCCUUCGAGCCCUCUUCAACCUUGACUGUGACCUUGCGAAGGCUGUCGAGGACGCAUUGGUGGAGCAUGGAGGCGAGGCUAGAGCAGAGCUGCAGUCUGCGAAUGGAGAGGUGGCCGGCGAGGCCGCGUGA